UUUGAAAAAUAUAUUUAUAAUCCUGGGCAUGCCAUGAUUGUGUCAUACCACAACGGACCGUGGUAGGGUCUUGAGCACAAAAGAACAUGUUAGACGUAUUACAUAUGAUAAUGUUCAUGUUCACUUUCUUGGACCAAUUUUUAAUAACCAUUUAAUAAAUGGACAUGAUUAUUAAUUAAAAUUUGGUCUACCAUGGAUCAAAACUCAUGUCGACCAUUCUAUAUGAAUUCAAACACUAAGCAAAGAGAAAAAAAUAAGAAUAUAAUCUCUGCUGCCCACAACAUAAAGGGGCUCAUUACUCGUUUUCGUAUUGGAUUGGGGUCAACGAGAAAAUGGAAACAACGGCUUAAACCAUUAGGUGUAGGCGUCUUUCAGAGAUGAAAUCUUAUUGUUCUUGUAUAUACUNN
Molecule: long non-coding RNA, 407 nt
Filed under: Trifolium pratense (red clover)
Lineage: Eukaryota; Viridiplantae; Streptophyta; Magnoliopsida; Fabales; Fabaceae
Description: long non-coding RNA (TPRA_LNC008422)
Source: RNAcentral